CUACGUGCCAGCAGCCGCGGUAAUACGGAGGGUGCGAGCGUUAAUCGGAAUAACUGGGCGUAAAGGGCACGCAGGCGGUUAUUUAAGUGAGGUGUGAAAGCCCCGGGCUUAACCUGGRAAUUGCAUUUCAGACUGGGAGUCUAGAGUACUUUAGGGAGGGGUAGAAUUCCACGUGUAACGGUGGAAUGCGUAGAGAUGUGGAGGAAUACCGAAGGCGAAGGCAGCCCCUUGGGAAUGUACUGACGCUCAUGCACGAAAGCGUGGGGAGCAAACAGGAUUAGAUACCCUGGUAGUCCACGCCCUAAACGAUGUCUACUAGUUGUCGGGGAUUAAUUUCCUUGGUAACGCAGCUAACGCGUGAAGUAGACCGCCUGGGGAGUACGGUCGCAAGAUUAAAACUCAAAGGAAUUGACGGGGACCCGCACAAGCGGUGGAUGAUGUGGAUUAAUUCGAUGCAACGCGAAAAACCUUACCUACGCUUGACAU
This 486-nucleotide ribosomal RNA is filed under the name uncultured bacterium. Its description in RNAcentral is "bacterial SSU rRNA". It matches the Rfam family "Bacterial small subunit ribosomal RNA", at positions 501 to 987 of the family's 1533-position model. The record is from RNAcentral.